UACGUAGGGGGCAAGCGUUGUCCGGAAUUAUUGGGCGUAAAGCGCGCGCAGGCGGUUUUUUAAGUCUUCUGUUUAAGCCCGGGGCUCAACUCCGGUACGCAGGGGAAACUGGGAGACUGGAGUGCAGGAGAGGAAAGUGGAAUUCCACGUGUAGCGGUGAAAUGCGUAGAGAUGUGGAGGAACACCAGUGGCGAAGGCGACUUUCUGGCCUGUAACUGACGCUGAGGCGCGAAAGCGUGGGGAGCAAACAGG
RNAcentral lists this ribosomal RNA (252 nucleotides) under uncultured Paenibacillus sp. RNAcentral describes it as "partial 16S ribosomal RNA". It matches the Rfam family "Bacterial small subunit ribosomal RNA", at positions 524 to 776 of the family's 1533-position model. The record is from RNAcentral. Lineage: Bacteria; Bacillati; Bacillota; Bacilli; Caryophanales; Paenibacillaceae.